GCCUGGCUUGCCUGAUAUUUUUAUCAGCUUCAUUCACAUCAGGUCAUCGAUUCUCUUCAACGUUGGUUGUAUUCAACUAUUCAUCCCUUUAUAUGUAUCUACCAGACAAGAAAAUCUCUUGUUCUUCAUAUCGAGCUAGACUGUAUACAAAACAGCAGCAACAGCCCGCGAAAAUUAGUGUGCAGAUGGGUUCAAAUUCCUUGCUAACAAUAAGAAUGCCCGUGACAAAACUCAAAUACACAUACCUAUAGUAUCUAGGAUCGUCAUGCAUAUCAGACGACUUUUUUAUUUUUAUUAACCAUUUAAUCACUCAUUUUUCAUCAUUAUGUUCUAUUUCAUCUUUUCUUCCACCCACUAUCUUCGUCUCCUUACAUCCCUAUCUACAAUGGAUAUGUGGAAUUUUAUUUACUAUCAAGAACUACGGAUAAGCAAAGUAAGAAAAAUAAUAAUAAGCUACUGCAAUAGAAAAUGCUGGAGUUACACACAAAAAGGGCAAAACAAAAUAGAUCUUAAUCUCACUCAAAUAGCAGUGCAAUUUCAGUGCUGAAGUAGACCACAUACCCCAAUGAAUUUGUCACUGGCAUACACAAUGUUAGCCACAAGCAUAACAAAAACUCCAAAGUACGCCUGGCUUGCCUGAUAUUUUUAUCAGCUUCAUUCACAUUAGGUCAUCGAUUCUCUUCAAGGUUGGUUGUAUUCAACUAUUCAUCCCUCUAUAUGUAUCUACCAGACAAGAAAAUCUCUUGUUCUUCAUAUCGAGCUAGACUGUUACAAAACAGCAGCAACAGUCCACCAAAAUUAGUGUGCAGAUGGGUUCAAAUUCCUUGCUAAUAAUAAGAAUGCCGUGACAAAACUAAAAAAUAAAGUAAAA
This 871-nucleotide long non-coding RNA is filed under the name Triticum aestivum (bread wheat). RNAcentral's name for it is "long non-coding RNA (TAES_LNC013730)". Lineage: Eukaryota; Viridiplantae; Streptophyta; Magnoliopsida; Poales; Poaceae. The record is from RNAcentral.